Molecule: non-coding RNA, 6124 nt
Organism: Salmo salar (Atlantic salmon)
Lineage: Eukaryota; Metazoa; Chordata; Actinopteri; Salmoniformes; Salmonidae
Source: RefSeq, a predicted model, not a curated record
CAAUUCUGUUCAUUUUCUAUCUACCAUUUCCACAUACCGCAGAUUCGCAUACACUCAUGCAUACAUACAGCUUACACACGCACAAUCAUGUAGGAUUUAUGCAUACGAGCACUCAAAUCUCCCCAUUUGACCUAUUCUACAUAAUCUAGGCUAAUUUGCCAAUUCCAAUAUUGAUCGGCUCUGGCAUAGGCUAUUAUGCCUAUUUGUUUUUUCAUUUCGUGAUAGGCUAUUUCAUUCAAUUGCCUGAUAUCGGUGAGACUGUAUGCUACGAGUUGAAUGGGGAGCUGAGAGGACGAGCGUCAACUGUCAACCAGAUUCAGUCGGUGUUUUUUCUCUCUCGCCAUAAUCGUUUGAGCGUCGGUUUUCUUUUUAUCUGCGCCUGUUACAUUGUAACGCACUCGAUGUUAAUUCGGGGGAAUAUGUGAACAUCAUGCUGGCGGUGUGGUGCUUGGUCUUUGCUGCAGUGGGCGAGAGGCUUGCCGUGUCAGGCGGCGGUAGGUCGACUUUGGUGAGGGAUGCGAGUUUGUGGGACUGGUUCUCGCCAGAUGAGCGGGGAGACAGCAGCGACAUUGCGGCCGAAGUCGCCUAUCCAAAGCGGCUGGUGCAGCAGAUGGAGUCGGAGGAAGAAAAGUCCCACGGCUAUUUGGAUACCCGCGUGAAGAAUACCACGGAAGGUACCUCGCCAGUCCAUUUGGCCCAGAGUUGUUUCCAGGUGGAAACCUUCGGACACACCUUCACCCUGGACCUGGAGUUAAACCACAACCUCCUGUCCUCAGACUACGUGGAGCGGCACUUUCACCAAGACGGCAAACCCUCGCAGUCUAUGGGAGGGGAGCACUGCUACUAUCAAGGGAGGUUGAGGGGCUUACCAGAGUCCUGGGCAGCUCUCUCCACCUGCCUUGGCCUAUGUGGUAUGUUUUCUGAUGGGAGGUUCUCUUAUGGGAUUGAGCCUCUUUUCGACGGGACCAAUCAGACUGAAGGGGCCCACCUAGUGCGUAGGAUGCCUGAUGUCAGACUAUCCCCAGACUGUCAAGACUGCACAGACGACAGUGAGGGGGAUAGAGCCAGAGGUAAUGAUGAGGAGCAGAUGAAGGAUCCCCGGGCCAGUGAGGUGCUGAGGCGCUCUAAGAGACAGCUGCCACGCAGGCCCACCGUGCAGUCAGAGACCAAAUACAUCGAGCUGAUGGUGGUCAACGACUACGAAAUGUUUGUGCAGCUGCGACGCUCCACUACCCAGGCCAGGAACUUUGCCAAAGCAGUGGUCAAUAUGGCUGAUGCAAUUUACAGGGAACAGCUGAACACACGCAUCGUGCUGGUUGCCAUGGAGACCUGGUCGUCGGCCAACAUGGUUCCUGUGGUGACCGACCUGUUGACGACGCUGCAGAACUUCAUGAAGUACAGGAAGGACAGUAUUAAGGAACAAAGUGACGCCGUGCACCUCUUCUCGGGGCGUACGUUCCAGAGCAGUCGCAGUGGGACGGCCUACACCGGAGGAGUGUGCUCUCUCACCAGAGGAGGGGGCAUCAACGAGUAUGGGAACGUGGGUCCUAUGGCCAUCACUCUGUGCCAGAGUCUGGGUCAGAACAUUGGGAUGAGGUGGAACAACAUACGCAGCUCUGCGGGAGACUGCAGAUGUCCUGAUUCUUGGCUUGGUUGUAUCAUGGAAGACACUGGAUAUUACCUGCCCAGAAAGUUCUCUCGCUGCAGUGUUGAUGAGUACAUCCAGUUCUUGCUCCAGGGGGGCGGGAGCUGCCUCUUCAACAAGCCCAACAAGCUGUUGGACCCCCCUGAGUGUGGGAACGGCUUCGUGGAGACAGGGGAGGAGUGUGACUGUGGGUCUCAGCUGGUGAGGGUCUCUUUAAGGAACUGUAACCCAUACAUGAUGAGGGACCAGAACCCUCCAGCAUGGAUGGAACUACUGCCACAGCCCUAUGGGCCCUGGUUAAAAGAGUGUGCCCGUAGUGGAGGGGCUUGCUGUAAGAAGUGUACCCUGACCCACGAUGCCAUGUGCAGUAGUGGACUGUGCUGCAGUGGCUGCAGGUAUGAGCUAAGAGGAGCGGUGUGCAGACAGGCUGUGAAUGACUGUGACAUCCCAGAGAGCUGCACAGGAGACUCCAGCCAGUGCCCACAUAAUGUGCACAAGCUAGACGGAUACAUGUGUGACAGUAGUCAGGGUCGUUGUUAUAGUGGUCAGUGCAGGACUCUCGAUGGCCAGUGUAAGGGACUGUGGGGCUACAAUUCAGCAGACCGCUUCUGCUAUGAGAAGCUGAAUGCAGAGGGCACAGAGAAGGGAAACUGUGGGCAGAGUCCUGAGGGCCAGGGAUGGCUGCAGUGCAACAAGCCGGAUGUGCUGUGUGGUUUCCUGUUCUGUGCCAAUAUGACGCUGAAGCCAAAGUUUGGGGAUCUGGAGGGGGAAGUGACCAGCCUUACAAUAUACCACCAGAACAAGUACCUGGACUGCCGAGGGGGCCAUGUCCUGCUGGAGGACGGGUCAGACCUGGGCUACGUGGAGGAUGGUACGCCGUGCGGCCCCAACAUGAUGUGUCUGGAGCGCCGCUGUCUCCCCGUGGCAGCCUUCAACCUCAGCACCUGCUCCGGCUCCACGCUGGGACGCACCUGCUCUGACCACGGGACAUGCAGUAACGAGGUGAAGUGUAUCUGUGACAGGGACUACACCGGGAAGGACUGCAGUGUCUUUGACCCCAUCCCUGACCCCACGCCGCCUGCCAGCACGGAGAAGAAAGGUCCAAAGCUCCUCUGCCUGUCUGUUUGUCUGUCUGUUCUCCUCGUAUCCCUCUCAUUGUCUGUCUACCAUCACGUUAUCUCUUUGUGUACAUACAUGGAGUAUAGGGUAGCUAUAGUCUCGCUUUUCAGAUAGCUAUUGCCUUAGUCAUGAUUUGGAUGAAAGGGCAGUGGAGUAAAGUAAGGGGAACUGACUGACUUUGUCUCUACAUGUGUGCAUAUACUGUAUGCGGGUGUCUGUGUGUUUGUGUGGGUGUUUCUAUAAUUUACAGGCACAUGGCUUCUAUCUUCAAGUGUCUUCCUUCCUAUCUUACAGUCUGUAUCUGAUUCAGACGGGUUGGGUUAAAUGCGGAAGGCACAUUUCGGUUGAAUGCAUUCAGUUGUACAACUGACUAGGUAUCCCCUUUUCCUUUCCAUUGACACAGGGCUCAUAGGGCUCUCAUAGGCCCCAAAAACCAAAUCCACCCUAAGCAAGAGGGUGUCCAGCUGAAAGAGCAAGAGAGGGGGAUGAGAAAGAAGUAAUAAAAACACCCUCCUUUUUUUAACUGUCGCCUCCCUGAUCUCCCCUCGCUCUCCCACGCGCUCCCUCUUCCUCCACCCCACGUCCUUUCUUACUCUCCCUUUCUCUUUCCUACUCUCUUUCUUUGGGUAUCUUUUCUAUCUCUUUCUUCCUCCUCUCUUUCUCUCUUUCUCUCUCUUUCUCUCGUUCUCUCUCCUUCUCUCUCUUUCUCUCUUUCCGGAUGUGGUUGAUGUGCAGUGUCGAUGCUGUCCUCUGACGUGUGUUUUUGGUGGUGUUGUUUUGUUCCCCUCCGCACCCCUCCUCCCCCCUCCUUCCUCUGCGCAGGUCCCAGUGGCACCAAUAUCAUAAUAGGGUCCAUCGCAGGUGCUAUUCUUCUGGCAGCUAUAGUCCUAGGGGGGACAGGAUGGGGAUUUAAGAAUAUCCGAAGAGGAAGAUCUGGUGGAGGAUAAGAUGUCUGUCUGUCUGUCUGUCUGUCUGUCUGUCUUGUCUGUCUGCUCCUGUCUUUCUCUCACUCUGUGACGUUUCCAAGUCGGAGAAGAGGGAAAAAGAACAAGUCUUCCACUCCUGUCCCGAACCUCUCCAGACCUCUUCUGUUAACAUCUCCUGUCCACUUCCCGUCUGUCCACCUGUCUAUCUCCGGCCCCUCCGGGCCAGUGUAGCACCUCCCACAUUGCAUACCAGCCAAUUAUAUUAUCCAAUCAGGAUAAAGUCUUUGCCACGGACAGAAUGAGAAGGUUGUUGGUCCCUAGAGGGGCGUCGGGGUCUUCCUCCUUUCCAGCGGCUAAGUAUUAUGCACUUCGGUGUCUGCGUACUGUAGUUCCCUUUCCUUCCGCUUACGACAGUCCAAUGAAGAACAUGUCAACAGUGGACAAAUUCAGUAUGAGACAUGUCUUUCCAAUGCUUGUCUGGAAACAAACUUCUGGCCGCUGUUUGAGAAUGCUGGACUGGCCCAGACCUGCCAUCUGAAAAACGAUUUAAAUCAUAGGAGGUUGUCAAGGAAACACAGAAAAACAAACAUUUAUCAAAGACUCAAGUGGCCAUUGGAUCAGUUGAACUGCCCCUUUCAGAGAGGCCAUGUCAGAUGACUGGAUGACAACCCAGAUUCAGACAUUAUCUAGUCACAACAACACGGAUGUGAUCCAAGAAGAGUCCUGUAUUGGACGUGUUGUGUACAGGCCAUUUCCAAAGAAAGAACAGCAACUUAUUGUGAGAAUGACUAUGAAACAAAAGCAGUAGACCGUUCAAAACAUCAUGGACUGAUGUAGGGUUUAUGUUGAUUGUUAAUUCUUUGUUCCUGUCUGUUGAGAUGUGUUGAGAUGUAGGAAGGGGGAGUUAGACCCUAUGGUUUUGGGAUCAUAUUUAAAAUGCAGCAGAGACCGUAACUCAGUGUUUUCAACCGUAGAUCUACCAACACAACAUUCCACAUAGUGUUAGUUAACAGAGCCUGUCUGUAUGUGUUUGUAUUCUAUUCGCCACCUUCUUAAUAGGCCCAAAGUGUGUAUGGUAAAGGAGGUUGAAAGUGUGUGUGUGUGUGUGUGUGUGUGUGUGUGUGUGUGUGUGUGUGUGUGUGUGUGUGUGUGUGUGUGUGUGUGUGUGUGUGUGUGUGUGUGUGUGUGUGUGUGUGUGUGUGUGUGCGUGUGUGCGUGCGUGCGUGUGCGCGUGCGUGCGUGCGUGCGUGCGUAGGGUACCACAAAUUCCGGUUACUAUCACAAUAUUUCCACGUUUUCCUGAAAUCCUGGUUGGAAGAUUCCCGGAAUUGUGAAGGAAUAAGCAGGGAAGUAUGGAAACCUCCAACCAGGGUUGCUGGAAAACCAGGGAAUGCUGAGAAAGUUACUGGAAUUUUGUGUGUGCGUGUGUGAGAGAGAUUAAGCGAGGAAGAGAGCAGGUGAAUUAGAAAGGUACGUGCUGUGUUUAGGACAGUUAUGCCCUUGUUCACCGUGACACUCCUGCCAACAACACUGGUAGAUCGUUUAUAGAUUUUUACUUCUAGAAAAAGUUAUCUUUCUGUUACCUGGCUUUGUGCUCGGGAGCCAAUGGCAGCACACUAACAAACAAAUGGUUUGUAUUGAAUAUGUAACAACCAACUUAAACGAGCACUAGCCUACAGAAUGUGGGAACACAUAUGCACAUCUAUUUGUAUAUACAGUAUGUACAAGAAGAUAAUACUGAAUGUUGAAUACACUGUAUGAAAUUGUUUUAAAAUGCAAUGUUAAUAUUUAUUCGUUUUAUCUGUUUCAACUAAGUAUCUAUCUGUCUCCUGCCAUAUAACUGUACAUCUCCUUUAAGCCAUUCCUAGCUGUCCAUCUAUCUGUCGGCCCGGCACACUGCCUAGUAAGCUAGCAAUCUGGCCAUCUAUCUAUUAUUGCAGCUGUCAAUCUAAAUGCCAUCUAAAUAUUGGACACUUGUUGAUAGGCUCUGAGCCUUAUGCUGAUGAUGCUUCAACACAGUGAGUUUGAAAUGACCCCAGGACACUUCCUCAGUGGAAAUGUGAUGAGAUGAGGUGCAUUACUAUUGACCAGGGCCCAUAGUGCUCUGCUGGUGAAAAGUAGUGCACUACAUAGGUAAUUGGGUACCAUUUGGGACACAACCUGGGGUCUGGUACACUAGGUGUAUGGAGAGGUCUGUUUGAUUCAGCUGAGUUCUGCACUAUGGCAGCUGCACUAUAGUUCUUCACCAUAUGUACAGAAUAUGUACAAUCUUUAGAUGGUGGCCAGCUUUCUUGCGUUUUGAAUUUAGGAAGCAGAGAAAAAGAAACGCAUCAUGUCCCAUAUUUUUAAACACUAUCUUUUUAAGUAGACAAUUGAAAUAAACAAUGUAGAUGAAUUGAAAUGAAGGGGAAAUAAAAUAUUAAAGUCAAAAGUA